RNAcentral lists this unclassified non-coding RNA (2165 nucleotides) under uncultured fungus. RNAcentral describes it as "sequence contains 18S rRNA gene, ITS1, 5.8S rRNA gene, ITS2, 28S rRNA gene". The stretch from base 1020 to 2165 matches the Rfam family "Eukaryotic large subunit ribosomal RNA", at positions 1 to 961 of the family's 3401-position model. Lineage: Eukaryota; Fungi. The record is from RNAcentral.
GGAAGGAUCAUUAUCACGUAUACCACGUACCACACUUUGUGAACUAUAGAGUUGGGUCAAGUUUUGAUUGGAUGGGUGUGAUUAGUAGAUUAGAGAGAUUAAAAUAGUAGAUGCGUUCUUUAUUUUCUCUCUCUCUCUCUCUCUCUCUUCCCCCUCCUUCAACUCUUGGAGUUUUGCUUUAGAUGGGCAGCUCACCUAGUAAUUUUUGAUUAAUAAACAAGCACUUGUUUUUAAUCACAAAUUACCCAGGUUCUUGACUCUGUAUGAACUAUCAAUGUUCUUGCCUUGGGUUAUUGUUACGGACGGCGAUUAUACAUUUAAAUGAUGCGAUCAUUUCUGUAUAAUCGACCAAGUAGUUUCAAUCCUUUGGAAAAGACUUGAUUUAGUUCAUACUUUCCAUCUUAUUUACUCUAUUUUUUUGUCGAAAGACAUUAAAAUUCUUUUAAAGUUAUUGACACUCGAAAGACUGUCAUGUUCUUUAAAAACCGAACAUUGUACAACUCUUAGCAACGGAUAUCUUGGUUCUGGCAACGAUGAAGAACGCAGCGAAAUGCGAUACGUAAUGCGAAUUGCAGAAUUCAGUGAAUCAUCAAAUCUUCGAACGCAGAUUGCACUCUCGGGUUAUCCCUGGGAGUACGCCUCUUCCAGUAUCGACAUUAACUUCACUCGGCUGCGUGCUUCAUAUAUUAACAACUUGAGUUUAAUUUCUCUCUUUGUUUUAUAUGAUUGCAACGUCAGACGGACAUUGGUCGUCAGUCUUAGCUUUCUUGAGACUGUUGACUUAAAGAUAUGUACUUACUUUGAGUGACAAUACCGAAAGCUUCACUAACCCCAUUAACAAAAUUGUUAGUGACGGUGGAUAAUUUUUCAGAGUAACUGCGAGUUUUCUGAGAAUUCCGUACGUCUCUAGCUGUGUUCAAUGGUACUGUUAUGAAGUGAAUUUGUCCUUGGUAAGUCCAAAGGAAUAUUUUUCUGACCCACUUCUCGAAAGAGUAGUAGUAAAGAAAAAUCUCAUUACUAGAUCUGGGAUGAAGCGAGAGGACCCGCCGAAUUUAAGCAUAUUAUUAAGCGGAGGAAAAGAAACUAACAAGGAUUCCCCUAGUAACGGCGAGUGAAGCGGGAAGUGCUCAAAAUGAAAAUCGGAUGCCUAAACGGGUAUUCGAGUUGUAAUCUAAAGACGUGUUUUCAGCAUGUGACCCGGGUAUAACUCUUUUGAAACAAGGGAUCAUAGAGGGUGACAAUCCCGUCUUUGACCCGGAGUUCGCUGCGUACGAUACACGUUCUAAGAGUCGAGUAGCUUGGGAUUGCUGCUCAAAAUGGGUGGUAAACUCCAUCUAAAGCUAAAUACCGGCCAGAGACCGAUAGCGAACAAGUACCGUGAGGGAAAGAUGAAAAGAACUUUGAAAAGAGAGUUAAAAAGUACUUGAAAUUGCUAAGAGGGAACCUGAGAGAACCAGUCAUUCUUUAAGCUAUGCUUACUACCCGCUGGCGGUGCUUGGGCUUUGUCAAGUUCCCUAGUGUCUUGCAGAGUUUAAGAUGCUUUUCAGUGAGUGGGUCCUAUAGUUUAGAGAGAGUCAGAAUCAAUUCUGCUCGCCGGAGAAAACCAAGGGAAAGAUAGGAUGCGGGGGGUUUCUUCCGUAUCUGUUAUAGUCCCUUGGCGAUACGGUGGGUGGGAUUGAGGAAAAAUGACAAGGCACCCCUUUACUGGGAUUGGUCGCCAUGGUCUGCGUAGUUAUUAUGUUGAGAGAACAAAGUUCUGUCUCGUGAGAAGCUGCGUACUGCUGUGGUAUACUAUUCGUGUCCUUCGCGAUUCUGACGAAAUGGUUUUCUCUGACCCGUCUGGAAACACGGACCAAGGAGUCUAACAUAUAUGCGAGUAUUUGGGUGGAAAACCCUGAUGCGUAAUGAAAGUAAAGGCAGCUUCGGUUGCUGAGGUAGGAACCCUUUCUUCGGAUUGGGGGCACUAUCGUCCGAUCGAUCACUUGUGAUAGAUUUGAGUAAGAGCAUAUCUGUUGGGACCCGAAAGAUGGUGAUCUAUGCCUGAACAGGGUGAAGCCAGGGGAAACUCUGGUGGAGGCUCGAAGCGAUACUGACGUGCAAAUCGUUCGUCUGAUUUGGGUAUAGGGGCGAAAGACUAAUCGAACCAUCUAGUAGCUGGUUCCCUC